This 402-nucleotide ribosomal RNA is filed under the name uncultured prokaryote. RNAcentral's name for it is "bacterial SSU rRNA". It matches the Rfam family "Bacterial small subunit ribosomal RNA", at positions 355 to 774 of the family's 1533-position model. The record is from RNAcentral.
UAGGGAAUAUUAGAAAUGGACGAAAGUCUGAUCUAGCAACACCGCGUGUGCGAAGAAGGCCUUCGGGUUGUAAAGCACUUUUUGGAAGGAUUAGGAAGGAAUGUACUUCCAGAAUAAGUCUCGGCUAACUACGUGCCAGCAGCCGCGGUAACACGUAGGAGGCAAACGUUAUCCGGAUUUACUGGGCGUAGAGCGCGUGUAGGUGUUUCUGUAAGUAGGGCGUGAAAGCUCCUGGCGCAACUGGGAGAGGCCGUUCUAAACUGCAGAGCUAGAGGAUGGUAGAGGGAGGUGGAAUUAUGGGUGUAGCGGUGGAAUGAGCAGAUAUCCGGAGGAACACCAGGGGCGAAAGCGCCCUUCUGGACCAUACCUGACACUCAGACGCGAAAGAUAGGGUAGCAAACU